GGGGAUUCUUCGGAGAGUUGGGAUUUUUCUGUCGCAAGUUAGAAUAAUCUGCAUUAUUAACCACUUAACAUUUAUUUAUUGAUUGGCUGCCUGACCUUUCUGAGCCUCAAUUUCUUCGUCUGUAAAUUGGUAGCUUGCCAAGGUCGGAGGACUGUUGGAAUUGGAAAUAUUCAAAUAAGGAAAUGUUUUUGUAAGCGCUUUGUAAGCAGCAAAGCGCUACUUCAGGGGUCAAUUUUUUUUUAGCCCUGCAGUCACCACCCAAAUUUGGGAGAUAGUUGGAUCCUCAUCCUUUCUUGGAUGAGGAUGCCCGGCUCCAGCGCGGGGAUAGGACAGUCUUUUCCUUGCUGGGAGUCCGCUGUGGAGGGGGCGAUGCGCUCUGUCCAGAGCCUAGGAGAGUCCCUUUCUCCCUCCACCCUCGGCUCUCAGCUGGCAGCUCCCCCGACGCGCACCGCCUCUUUGCCCCCAGCCUGCAGUGCGCUCUUCCCCAGGACGCCUCCUCUGUUCUCUGCACGCCGCCGGCCCUCCUGGGGUUGCUUUCUGCCGCGGCGUCUUCGCGAAUAUCCGCUCUUGCUGUCUGCCUUGGCGUCCCUCCGGGUUACCCCACACCGCCUCCGACCCUCCUAGGGCUCCGCGCGGGAGGAGGGGCAGGGCAUCCGCGUUCGUGUCUGGGCCCUGGUCGGGAGUCGCGUGGUCCAACCCUCGUUUUUCAGAGGAGGGAUCUGAAGCCCAGCUAGGCUCCUAAUUCCAGACAGAGCCCCCACGGAGCCCAGUUCUCUGGAUGCUUUCCUGGGGCUUUUUUCACUGGGCCAGGUUGGGUGGGUCUGGAGAGAACUCCUGCAGCCGGAAGAUAAAGAAAUACAGAGAGAAGCCCUGGGGAGUGGGGCCACCCUGGUCCCCUGGGCAGGCUCCAGUCUCUGGACCAGUGGGGCAGCAGAGGCCUCGGAAGCUGCAGAGAUUUCCUGGGGACACUCCUGAGGGAAGUCCUGCCUAUCGCAGAGAAGCCCACGGCAGACAACACAAGCCCCAGAAAAGCACUGGCUGCCGUUGGCUGCAGGUUCCUGCAUCUAUUUUCCAGCGUGCACUUCAUUUGAAUAAAAAUGAGACCAUUUUGUAUACACUGUUUUUGUGUCUUCCUUUUCUCACUGCGUAA
This 1150-nucleotide long non-coding RNA is filed under the name Macaca mulatta (Rhesus monkey). RNAcentral describes it as "lncRNA (ENSMMUG00000051117.1)". The record is from RNAcentral. Lineage: Eukaryota; Metazoa; Chordata; Mammalia; Primates; Cercopithecidae.